RNAcentral lists this ribosomal RNA (401 nucleotides) under uncultured bacterium. RNAcentral's name for it is "bacterial SSU rRNA". It matches the Rfam family "Bacterial small subunit ribosomal RNA", at positions 354 to 772 of the family's 1533-position model. The record is from RNAcentral.
GUGGGGAAUAUUGGACAAUGGGCGCAAGCCUGAUCCAGCCAUGCCGCGUGAGUGAUGAAGGCCUUAGGGUUGUAAAGCUCUUUCACCCACGACGAUAAUGACGGUAGUGGGAGAAGAAGCCCCGGCUAACUUCGUGCCAGCAGCCGCGGUAAUACGAAGGGGGCUAGCGUUGCUCGGAAUCACUGGGCGUAAAGGGCGCGUAGGCGGCCGAUCAAGGCAGGGGUGAAAGCCUGUGGCUCAACCACAGAAUUGCCUUUGAUACUGUUUGGCUCGAGACCGGAAGAGGUUGGUGGAACUGCGAGUGUAGAGGUGAAAUUCGUAGAUAUUCGCAAGAACACCAGUGGCGAAGGCGGCCAACUGGUCCGGUUCUGACGCUGAGGCGCGAAAGCGUGGGGAGCAAA